This 484-nucleotide ribosomal RNA is filed under the name uncultured bacterium. RNAcentral's name for it is "partial 16S ribosomal RNA". It matches the Rfam family "Bacterial small subunit ribosomal RNA", at positions 29 to 507 of the family's 1533-position model. The record is from RNAcentral.
AUUGAACGCUGGCGGCAGGCCUAACACAUGCAAGUCGAGCGGAUGAAGCGAGCUUGCUCCUGGAUUCAGCGGCGGACGGGUGAGUAAUGCCUAGGAAUCUGCCUGGUAGUGGGGGAUAACGUCCGGAAACGGGCGCUAAUACCGCAUACGUCCUGAGGGAGAAAGUGGGGGAUCUUCGGACCUCACGCUCUCAGAUGAGCCUAGGUCGGAUUAGAUAGUUGGUGGGGUAAAGGCCUACCAAGGCGACGAUCCGUAACUGGUCUGAGAGGAGGAUAAGUCACACGGGAACUGGGACACGGACAAGAGGACUGAGGGAGGCAGCAGUGGGGAAUAUUAGACAAUAGGCGAAAACCUUGUCCAACCAGGGCGCGUGUGAUAAGAAGGUCUUCGGAGUGUAAAGCACGUUUAGUUGGGAUGAAGGGCAUUAAGUUAAUACCUGGCGGGUGUGACGUUACCAACAGAAGAAGCACCGGCUAACUACGUG